UAGGGAAUCUUCCACAAUGGGCGCAAGCCUGAUGGAGCAACGCCGCGUGUGUGAUGAAGGCUUUCGGGUCGUAAAGCACUGUUGUAUGGGAAGAAUAGUUAAUGUAGGAAAUGAUGUUAAUGUGACGGUACCAUACCAGAAAGGGACGGCUAAAUACGUGCCAGCAGCCGCGGUAAUACGUAGGUGCCAGCAGCCGCGGUAAUACGUAGGUGCCAGCAGCCGCGGUAAUACGUAGGUG
RNAcentral lists this ribosomal RNA (238 nucleotides) under uncultured Leuconostoc sp. Its description in RNAcentral is "partial 16S ribosomal RNA". The stretch from base 1 to 190 matches the Rfam family "Bacterial small subunit ribosomal RNA", at positions 355 to 537 of the family's 1533-position model. The record is from RNAcentral. Lineage: Bacteria; Bacillati; Bacillota; Bacilli; Lactobacillales; Lactobacillaceae.